GAUGAACGCUGGCGCCGUGCCUAACACAUGCAAGUCGAACGGACAUUUUUUGGAAAGCUCUUCGGAACUGGAAUCUAAAUGUUAGUGGCGGACGGGUGAGUAACGCGUGAGCAAUCUGCCUUUCAGAGGGGGAUAACAGCCGGAAACGGCCGCUAAUACCGCAUAAUGCAUUGGAUUCGCAUGUUUCUGAUGCCAAAGAUUUUAUCGCUGAAAGAUGAGCUCGCGUCUGAUUAGCUAGUUGGCGGGGUAACGGCCCACCAAGGCGACGAUCAGUAGCCGGACUGAGAGGUUGAACGGCCACAUUGGGACUGAGACACGGCCCAAACUCCUACGGGAGGCAGCAGUGGGGAAUAUUGCACAAUGGGCGAAAGCCUGAUGCAGCGACGCCGCGUGAGUGAAGAAGUAUUUCGGUAUGUAAAGCUCUAUCAGCAGGGAAGAAAAUGACGGUACCUGACUAAGAAGCCCCGGCUAACUACGUGCCAGCAGCCGCGGUAAUACGUAGGGGGCAAGCGUUAUCCGGAUUUACUGGGUGUAAAGGGAGCGUAGACGGCGAAGCAAGUCUGAAGUGAAAACCCAGGGCUCAACCCUGGGACUGCUUUGGAAACUGUUUUGCUAGAGUGUCGGAGAGGUAAGUGGAAUUCCUGGUGUAGCGGUGAAAUGCGUAGAUAUUAGGAGGAACACCAGUGGCGAAGGCGGCUUACUGGACGAUAACUGACGUUGAGGCUCGAAAGCGUGNGGAGCAAACAGG
Molecule: ribosomal RNA, 748 nt
Filed under: uncultured bacterium
Lineage: Bacteria
Description: bacterial SSU rRNA
Rfam family: Bacterial small subunit ribosomal RNA
Source: RNAcentral